Molecule: long non-coding RNA, 4105 nt
Organism: Ictalurus punctatus (channel catfish)
Lineage: Eukaryota; Metazoa; Chordata; Actinopteri; Siluriformes; Ictaluridae
Exons: 2
Source: RefSeq, a predicted model, not a curated record
AUAUAGAAGAGAUAAUUGUUAUACCUGGUCUCCUACCAUUGGGGGGCUGGGGCAUGCCACAUGAUUGGGGAGGCUUGGGGGGCCUCUGGUUUACACCAUUGAUAAGUGUCCUUGGCCAAAAAAACCCUCGUUUAAUAGAUCUAAGCUGAGUGGCAGAGUACUCUAGAGCCAUGUCGGGAGAAUAGAUUUUAUUAAAAUUGGCCAAAACCAGUCCAAAAAGGACAGAACUUGAGAGCAAUUACACAGCAACAUGACCAAUGAUCCAUCGGGAUCCACACAACAACUAAUCGAUAUACCUGUGAUAGCCAGAAAUGUAUCGACUAAGAAACAAAAACAAACAAACAGGUACCAGCGUGAAGUAGCAGCACAAGCGUGCAUAGCGUUCUCACACAGGAAAUGGAAACAACCCCAGGAUGCCAGGAUUGGAAUGACCCUUCCCUUCCUUCUAAACCUUACCACAAUUUUUCCUUUCCCUUAAAGCGAACCAUAAACCUUCCCUGUUCUCAAAACCUAAUCGUAAUCCUUCUCUUUUCUUCAAACCUAAGCACAACCUUUCCUUACCCUUAACACUAACCAUAACCCAUCCCUUCACUCCAAGCCUAAACAUAACCCUUCCCUUCCCUCUAACCCAACUAUAACCACUUUCCUUGGCCCUAAACCCAACCACAACCUUUCAUGUCCUCUACUCAUAACCAUAACCUUCCCUUCCCUCUAAGCCUAAACAUAACCCUUCCCUCUAACCCAACUAUAACCACUUUCCUGCCCCCAUAUAAACCUGUUUUUUUUUUUAAAAAAAAUGUUUUGUUGUUGUUGUUGAUUUAAUAAAGUUUGUUGCCUUUAUCAAAAGUUUUCUUUAAGAAUUGUUUUUAAGGGGCUGAUGUUAAGACUGAAGGAGGAACUUUUUGGAUGAAGAUCUUGACUGGAAAAGGAGAAGAAAAGAACAGAGGACCUUCCUUUUUGUGGUUUUUCGAUCAAGAGCUUUCAAAAAGGAUUAUUAUUCAAAAGUGACUGAGACGAAGAAAAGAAAAAUCUUUUCAGGUGAGUAAAGGUCUUCUAGGCCUAAAACAUGGACUUUAAACCACCAGACCCCAUAAGCAUCUAGGAUGGCCUGCGUUUAAGGAGUCUCCAUUUCCUUCAAUGGAAAUUGGUCAUCUACCACUUCCAAAGAAUCAGAGAAAGAACUAAGAGACUCUUACACCCUUUUUUCUUCCUCAUUCCCUUCUUUUUCUUUACAGUUACUGACUGCAUAGUGAGGCAAUGCUGUCUUUGAAGAACAGGUUUGCCAUUUUAUCUCAUGAGUUUUAGGGAAUGGAACAUGAUAGACAUAGGAAACACACAUACAUCUUUGUUAGCUAAAGUAGCAUCUAGACAAUACAGUAAACUAUUUUUUAUUAGUAAGUUUAAGUUUAUUCAAGUUACUCAUCACAGUGGUAUUGGGGAGUUAGCAACUGAGACAGGCUAAUAAGCUAUCACAAUUCAUUGAACCUGCAUGUCCAAGUUCAAUCACUAGUCAGAAAGUGAAAGACAACAUUCAUCAUUGGAUGAUGACAAACAUGCACAUUUAAAAAUACCAUUAUAGUGGAGUCUUGAAGGAACUUUUGAAUGCCAAAGUUUUGAAACUGUUGAGUGGGGGAUUGUGGUGAAAUGGGUUAAAGUUAGGUUCAGGCAGAAAUUAAAACAAGACACACUACUUAAAUCUGAGCAACAGUUGAGAAACAGAUUCAAAGCUAUUGAGGAUAAAGAUGUUUCAUGCUUGCCUUUUCUCCAAAUACUGGUGAUCUUGAUGAUACACUACCUACUUUAGUCUGCCCACAAGCCCCACAAUUGCCUGUGUCCCCUGUUUGGAAUAAUUUGAUGUUUCAGGAGGGAGUCACUUUCUCCAAGACCAAAACUGUUGUUCAUCAUGAACCUAACUUGGUACAACACAAAAUUGUUUCAGUUCAGAAUAAUGGUAAGAGUAAAAACAUUCAGAAUAUAACCUUGCCUGAAACAUUUAAUGAUACUUCUCCUGUGUCUUCAGAGCCUGCACAGAGGGAUGAACAGGGGUGGGUGUUGUGAGGAAUCAGGGGAAAAAGAGUGAUGAAUAGCUUUCUUGAAGGGCAGAGUCACAACAUCUUACGAACCUGGUCUGAAUCUUCUCUCUCUUCCUGUGUUUUCCUCUUUCCCCACUUAGCAGGUGUAUGACUAUAGACACUCAAACUCAAAGAGCAUCACUGCAUGAUAUUAUAGGCUCUAAUAAUGCAUGUUACAUUAUUGUUAUAAUAUUAUAGUUCACACACACACACACACACACAUACACACACACACACACACACACACACACACACAGUUCCACCCAAACUCAGAUUUGCUUUAAUCAAGGUUAUAUGUAAAGUAGGACAAAGGGACAGAGAUGUUUGAAUUAGGUGACCUGCGUUUUGUCAACAGUCCAGACUGGUACAGGUGGUCUAAUGGUGUGGGAAAUAUAUUUUUUUUUGGGAAACUUUGGCCCUGUUAAUACCAAUAAAUCAUGGCUUGAAUGCCACAGCCUAUUUGAGUAUUGUUACUGACCAUGUGCAUCCCUUCAUGGCCACAAGUUACCCAUCUUCUAAUGGCUACUUCCAGCAUGAUAAUGCACCAUGUCACAAAGCAAAAUUGGUCUCAAACUGGUUUCAUGAACAUGACAAUGUGUUCAGUGUUCUUCAGUGGCUUUCCCAUUCCCUGGUUCUAAAUCCAAUAGAACACCAUUGAGAUUUUCAGGAUGAAAGUGAAAAAUCUGCAGGAACUGCAUGAUGCAAUCAUGUCAACAUGGACCAGAAUCUCAAACGAAUGUUUCCAUCAUCUGGUGGAAUCCAUGUCAUGAAGAAUUUAGGCUAUUUUGAGAACAAAUGGAGGCCUUAAAGUGCUCAGCGAGUGUAUUAACCCCAAAGUUAAUUACUUAGUCUAUUCGUUGAUUAAUAUACACACACUGCAGAGAGUUUGAGUCUGUGUUCUAUUUCACCUCUUCAAACCUACGAAGGGCAGAGUCUAACAUCUGGAUAUCCUCUAGCGUGUGUGUGUGUGUGUUUGUGUGUGUGUGUGUGUGUGUGUGUGUGUGUGUGUGUGUGUGUGUGUGUGUGUGUGUGAACCAUGCUGAGACCUUCAACAAUGUCAAGGUGACCGUGAUGCGGCAUUUGUUAUAAAUACCUUCUCAUUACGCCUCUCUGAUCCAUUUACUCUACUGACCUUGUACCAUGCUGGACCUCCUGUGUAUCUUGGAUCUAUGUAACCUGUCUUCUAAAGCUGGUGACAGACUCUUGUCAUCACGUCGUGGCUGCGAUUUAUUCUUGUCCUUUCGCCAGUUUUGGAUGGAUGUCCUGUUCGUGGAAAUGUCUUUAUGGUGCCCACUUUCCUCCACUUCUUGACAACGACUUUAAUGAGGUUCCAUGGUACAUUUAAUGUUUUGGAAGUUGUACAUGCUUUGUAAGCUCUUUGUGGACCAUGGCUUCAGCAGUUGGAUGGAACCAAGAUGACAUCAAGAAAAUCCUACAGAAACAGCUGAUCUUUACUUGUGUUUAUUCAGAAUCACUUUGAUGACAGGUGUAUGAUAAUUACUGUUGAAAAUGAGUUAAAGUGUGAUUGGUUAAUUCUGAGCACAGUCACAUGACACAUUAUAAAAGUUAAACUUAUGCAGAGUAUUGUAAGUUUUUUUUUUUUUUUCUAAAACAUUUAAAUUUGUUUUUCAUUUCAAUUUUGUUGGUUGCUAUAUCACAUUCAAGUUGGGAAAAGAUCUCACAUUUGAUCAGAUUUAUCUUGGUUUCACUGGUUUACAUUACAAAAAAAUGGUUGAUUAAUAGCACAAUACUGUGAUAAACAUGAUGUUUUAGACUGGAUUAUCAUAAUGUGAACAUUUCAAACUGUAACACCUCUACUUUACUUAAUGAAAUGGCCCACAGGAAAGACAGGUGAAGCAGUUUCUGUUUAAAAUCAGCAGCUUAGUGUGUCAGAUAUGGGUCAAAAAUAUCUGAAAAACAUUUUCUACUAUAAAAAUAUUCAAUGUAAAAAGCUCAAUGUUAAUUCCGAACCUGCUGAACAUAGAGAUGUCACUUUUCAUUACAUUAAAACAAUAAAUAUUUAUGACCAUCAA